Molecule: non-coding RNA, 30 nt
Filed under: Homo sapiens (human)
Lineage: Eukaryota; Metazoa; Chordata; Mammalia; Primates; Hominidae
Source: RNAcentral
UGCACCACCACACCUGGAAUGCCAUCCUGC